Molecule: small nuclear RNA, 136 nt
Organism: Callorhinus ursinus (northern fur seal)
Lineage: Eukaryota; Metazoa; Chordata; Mammalia; Carnivora; Otariidae
Product: U4 spliceosomal RNA
Source: RefSeq, a predicted model, not a curated record
AGCUUUGCGCAGUGGCAGUAUCGUAGCCAAUGAGGUUUAUCCGAGGCGCGAUUAUUGCUAAUUGAAAACUUUUCCCAUCGUAUGGGCUAGAACUUUGUACAUAGCCAUACCUAAUGUAAGGGAGGCUAAAAAAUGU